AUGGGCUGUCUUCUUAAUUUUGUCCGGACCGAGGUUCCUCUUAGGCUAGUUAAGUGGCUUGCAUCUAGGUUCGAUGUUCCUGCUUCUGAGUUUCAGUUGAAAAGGAAAUUCAUACCCUUAACUAAGUAUGAUAUCCAUGACAUCCUUGACCUCCCAGUAGACUGUGAGCCCGUUGUUUCAGAUCCUGAAGCUGGUCGUGAUUUUAUCCUUUCUCAUUUCAAUCUUACCAGUAUCCCACCAGUGUCCUUUUUUGCCAACAAGCUAAAAUCUGCAGAAGUUGAUUUGUCUGAUGAGGACGUGUUCAUUUGUUUCAUGAUUGUGGCUUGCUCUACUUUCCUUUGUCCCAACUCUAGUCUUAGUCCUAGUCCGAAGUACCUCCACAUCUUUCAGGAUUGUCAGUCUGUGUGUGCCUAUGAUCUUUCUAGUUUUGUUUACGAGUGGCUUUUGAGUAGCAUCAAAAAAAUUCAAGGAUGCUACUAA
RNAcentral lists this ribosomal RNA (480 nucleotides) under Triticum aestivum (bread wheat). Its description in RNAcentral is "partial small subunit ribosomal RNA". The record is from RNAcentral. Lineage: Eukaryota; Viridiplantae; Streptophyta; Magnoliopsida; Poales; Poaceae.